CAAGGGCUGCUGGGCUGCCAGAGGGAUGUCUGAUUGCCAGCUUAGGCCCAAUCCCUGGGGAAGCAGGCCUACGCCAGCAGGUGGUCAUCCCCCAAGGGGUCCCAGACUGCGAGAGGGCACAGGCCGGGCUGAGGGACGCCCCCCUUCCCCCGAGGGCACAAAUUUUUGUACACCGGGCCUUUAGUAAAUCUAUAAUAAUUAAAAUAUUGUGGUGCUAAUGGAAACCAGAACAAGGAAAUUAUAUAAAAGGCCUAGAGACAGACCAAAGGUUUAUUAUACAAUAUGAUGGUAUUUCCUAUCAGUGUGAAAAGGAUGGCUUAGUCAAUAAAUAAUAACAAUAAGCAAUUCUUAGGAGGGAUUUUUUAUAUGUUAGUACUGGUUGGAGGGCUUUAUAUUUGUUUGCUUUAAUCUGUACAACCCUGUAAAGCAAGCAUUAUUUUUCUCCAUGUCUAACUUUACCCAGAUCACAGGUGAGUAGUGGUAGAGCCAGGAUUCAAAUCCAAGCAGUCUGGCUCAGAGCUCAUGCUUUAAGCAACUCAGUUUCUUCUAUAAUUAGUUGCAUUAAAUAAUGACUUUUGGGAAAAGAUAAAAUGAGAUCUCUGCCUUACACAGCAUAUUAAAACAAAUUUAUGAUGGAUAAACAUUAAAAUACAUUCCAAGUGAAUUAAAGACUUAAAGGUUAAAAACUGUCUUAUGAGUUAGAAACAUUAGGUGUAUUCAGUGACUGCUUAUGUGUCAGACUACUUUGUCUGGUUACAUUAAUAAAUUUAAACAGUAUAAACAUCAAUUAUUGUAAGAAUGUAGGUAAAAUAGGACUCAUAUAUUUGAGGUAUUAUUAAGAAUUGACACAACCUAUUGGGAAGUAUUGUGCAUUAUAUUAAAAGACCUUUAAAGUAAGUAUUUUUUAAAUAAGACCAUGGAGGGGGGAAAAGAACUUAUUGGUAUACUUGCUCACAAUAAAAUACUAAAUGUUAAUUCUGUAUUCUGAUCCAAUAAAUCCAUUUACAAGAACCUAGUCUAAUCCUAAAUAUGAAAUACUUAAUAUAUUUUGUUAAUAGAAAAAUUAGAAACAACUUGAAGAGGAUAAUAGGGAUAUGGUUAACAUAGUGGAAUAUACAGCUUUCAAAAAUAUCUUAAGUUUAUAUAAGGAUGGAAACAUUUAUCAAAGAAUGUUAAGUGAUGUAAAAGGACAAAAAUGUUUUACUUCUAAGUAUGGUACAGUUAUAACCAUGUAAAAAUGUUACUUUUUAUCAUGCAAAUGCAGCAUGUGGGCCUUUUCGGAUCCUGAUUUGAACUCAGCUGUAUACCCACACACACACACCCAACACAAGCACAAUUCUUGAGACAGAGAAAUUUGAACAUGGACUGGAUGUUGGCUAUCAAUGAAUUGUUAAUUUCGUUAUAUGUAAUAAUGCAUGUUAUUACAUAAAUACACACACUUUGUGAGAUAUUGAAGUUGACAUAUGUGUACAUAUGUCAGGGAUUUGCUUUAAAAUACUCUUAGCAAAAAAUGGUGGGGAGAGUUGAAACAAGAUCGGUUACUAAUUUAUAAUUGUUGAUGCUGAAUGAUAGUUCAUUAUCCUAUUUUCCUUUUUUUUGGAAAAUUUUCUACAGUAAAGGUUAAAGAAAAAAAAAUGAAAGCACUAGGGACAAGGAACAAUGGUCUAUGCCAGGGGAACAAAAGAAUAAAAAAAUAAUGGGAAAUACAGGUUAUGUUCUGUUUGUUUUUUGUUUUUCAUGAUAUAAUUCUAUUCCUUAGAAUUAAUCCUAAUACUAAACUUUUUUAAAAAUAGGAAAAAUGCAUGCAUGAAAUGAUUAUUUUAAGAAUGUCCAUAAUAGAAAUAACAUGACAACAAGCUCUAACAGCCAGAGAAUGAAUAAAUUAUAUUGUCUCUAAUCAGAGGAAUGUUAGGCUACCAUCUGGAAAAAUAACAAUGAAGAGUGAGUUAUCAGAUAAAAAAUGUAAUUACACAUCUAUCCAAAUAAAAAUUAUUACAUUUGAAAUAUGAAAUGAUUGAAAGGAAAUAUACAAAAAUAAAAUUAUAUGCUAUUAGGUGAGAUGAGAUGACUUAUUCUAAUGUUGCUCUUUUACCUAACUUUUACAAAGUCGGACAGUGUAAAUGUGUUAGGCACAGAAUUAAUGUCUCAAUAUUGUAAUGACAUGUUAAUAAUUGGAAAUUAAGAGCUAAGAAUAGGACAUUUGAGUUGAAUGCUGUAUUAAGAAAAUCAGUGAAGGAAUCUUUGUAUUCCAAUCUCUCCUCCCCUACCACUCCCAACCCAAAUAGUUAAGCAGUAAUUGGGCCCCACUGUAUAUAAGUGUCUUAAGUAGCUAGUCAUAAAUUUUUCUUUUACUGUUAGUGAUUUCUAGAGAAUUAAGUAAAACUAGAAGUCAUUUAUCGAGUACCUACUCUGUGCCAGGUAGACUGUUAAGUGCUGAAGAAUCAAAGGUGAAUCAGGAAAUCAAAUUAUAAUGUGAUAGGGGAAAGCAGACAGAAAUAAUUGAAAUGAUAGGCACAUCUAAAAAUAUUCCAAAAAGAAGGAGUGUAUAACUCUGCCUAGAGGAAGAAAGGUUAAGGGUGAUGGGAAAAAGGCAAGAGGAACGGCAGUAAGAUAGUGAUGCUUUACUUAACUGGAACUUAGAGGAAGGAAAGGACUCAAAUCAUUGCUCUCAAACUUUAAUGUGAAGAUUACUUGGGGAUAUUGAUAGAAUGUAGAUUCUGAUUCAGUAAGUCUAGAAUGGGGUCUGAGAUUCUGUAUUUCUAACAAGGUCCCAGGUGAUUCAAAUGCUUUUAGCCUAUAUUGAGUAACAAAAUUUUAAAAUGGAAACAAACAUGUGACUUGUCAUGGAGCCAUGUAAGAGUGUGAUGUGUUCAUGCAUUUGUGUAGGGUGAAUUGUGUGAAGGUAAGUAGAGAGAUGUUUAUGUUUGCCAGAAUUUGGAUUUAUCCUGGGCUGUCUACAAUAGUUGGCAACUGUGACAGCACUGCUUACUUCAAGUAACAAGGAAGUAGGGAAAAGACAAAUUGUAGUGGGUUGAAGAGUGAAUAGAUUAGUGGCCAUUUGUGAGAAAAUAACAGAAAAAUCCCAUUUAAGUGCCUGUAUACAUCAGAAUAUUCAGUCAUGAAAGGUAAGAAUAUGGAAUGGUUUCAGAUCCAAAAAAACUUGAGACCUGAACUAAAUGCAGAGUGAUCAGAAUUUUCUAUAAGAAUAUCAUAGGAAUAAUUGGUGAAAUCUGAAUAUGGUUUAUAGUUAACUAACAAUAUUAAUUUCUUGAUUUUGAUCAGAGUGAAUAUGUUAAGAGAAUGCCUGUUUUUGGAAAAUACAUUUGGACAUAUAGGGACAUCCUGUCAGUAACUUAAUUUCAUUGGGAGUUCAGGAAGAUAAAGCAAAUGUGAUAAAUGUUAACAUUUUGGGGAAUCUCAGUAAAGGGUAUAUUGGACUUCUUUGUACUAUUGCCAAGUUUUCUGUGAAUCUGAAAUUAUGUCAAAUUAAAGUCUGUUACUUUCUGAGUGGACAGAUGAGAGGAACAGUGGCACAACCACACAAGCCAGAAGCCUAGGGCUCAGCCUUCCUACCCACCACAUUCCCACAUCUAAACCCAUGUUCAGUGCAAUCUUACGGAUCUGUUUCAAAUCUGCUACUCUAUCUUCAUCUCUACCUCUCGCAGUCCAACUUAAUAACUCGUCUAUACCACUGAAAAUAGCCUAUUUGAUUUUUUAUUUCCUUCCAAUUUCUGUACUGUGAUCUUUUCAGAAUGCAAACCUAAUGCCACAUCUGUUCUCUCUCCAACUCCAUUCCCUUCAAAUAUUUGAUGGAAUAUUCUUAAUGGAGAAGCCCUACCUACAUAGACCGGCUCCUUGUUCUUAGUUCAUUUUCAUCAUGCUUCCUUACUCUACACUACUGCUAUUGUUCUUGCCAAAUUGUCCUACUCCUUUUUGCCUUCACACAUACCAUUCUUUCUUCCCUUUGCCAUCAGCUAUUUGUGUUCAUAUUUUAAAUCUAUCACUUUAUCUCAGGAAGCCUUUCCUAGAGUUCUCUUUACUCUUAACUUCUCUCAAUAAUACCAUCUUCCAGUUGCAGUUUUGGAGAUAAUGCCUAUACACUACAUCAUGGGCAGGGACCAUUCUGGUUUUUGCUCACCAUUGUGUUCUCAGAGCAUAACACACUGUCUGGCAUGUAAUUGGAUCUCUAUGAAAUUAUUGACUGAAUAAAUGAAAAGGGAAGACAGGAUAUAGGAGAUACUGGGUCAAGUUGUGUUUUAGGAUGGAAUCUAGUAGGAGAGGAUUUGGGAGAGCAAGAACCCAAAGGCUGGGAUGGUUAUUAUAAAUAGAACAGA
Molecule: long non-coding RNA, 4334 nt
Organism: Myotis daubentonii (Daubenton's bat)
Lineage: Eukaryota; Metazoa; Chordata; Mammalia; Chiroptera; Vespertilionidae
Source: RefSeq, a predicted model, not a curated record